RNAcentral lists this small RNA (1157 nucleotides) under Drosophila ananassae. RNAcentral's name for it is "GF19588". Lineage: Eukaryota; Metazoa; Arthropoda; Insecta; Diptera; Drosophilidae. The record is from RNAcentral.
CUGUUUCUUAUAAUUGCCUUAUUAUGUGGCUGUAUUGGAGCCAGUCGAGUGUCACCCGGCCCAUCUGGAUUUUGCAGUAAAAGUAUAGGAGCGUCUUGCUUGCUUUUUGCAAUACUUCUUAUUUUCUGUGUAAUUUCUUUUAUUGCGCUAAUAGGACUUUUCUAUUUAAUUCUUGGUGCAAUUACUUAUAAAGGUGCCUGUAGUCCAUCAAAAAAUGAAGUUGUUCAAAAUCUGAACACCAAUAUUGAUCUCAAUCGGUACAUCCAAGCUGACGAAUUCUAUGUACCUCCUUUAAGAACUUCAAAUGUUAUGGAAGCUUGUCAAGCCGAUGAAAAUAUAUUUAAAUUAUUGCAAAAAAACCGUCUAUAUGAUGUAAAUGAUUUAAAAAGAAUCAAAUUGUUUACAAUUACUGAGGAAUCUUCGCCAACUUUUGAAACCGAUUUAUCAACUAUGGAAUUAUUGACAUUAGAAGAAAAAGAGAGAUUAACUUUAAUGCGAACUGGAAAUUUUUCAUCGUAUCAUAGUAACCUAUACCAUGAAAAUUUAUGCACGAAUUAUGGAAAAAGCCUUGUAGAAGUUAAUACUCAAGUAAGGAAUUGGGUACGUGACACUAAUGCAGCAACUGAAGUACUUUCUUAUUUCUUGAGAGGAUCUAUACUGUACACAGUGUUACACGGAAUGAACAUCAAUAAAUAUUUUCACCAAAAACUAGUUAAUAGCAUUAAAGAGCUUGAAAAAACUGUAGACGAUAUUGAUCGCAUGAUUUUAUACGAAAGUCACGAUUUUAACAAUUCUAUUCUUAUCUUGUUUAAUUCAAUAAUAGAUUCCGAAAAAUUUAUUCAAGGUCGUGGCAAAGACUUUAUAAAUACGAUUGCUAGUAAUUUAACAGAUGAACUUAACGGAAUGGUUGAUAAUUUUAUCCAUAAGGUCGUUCGCGAAUCUACAGACAAAGUUGGCCAAUGCGCACCACUCUCCUAUAUUUAUAAUAGAAGUUUUCACUAUAUUUGCGAGCGGCUUGUUGAUCCUAUUAAUGCAUUUUGGCUGGGCUUAUUGUUAUGCACUAUUUUCCUUCUGCCAACACUUUUCGUAGCCCAUCGACUAAUGUGUCUUUAUUUAAAGAUAUAUCCAAUUACUUACGCAUGUGCACCUGUUGCGAU